Molecule: small nucleolar RNA, 107 nt
Organism: Coffea arabica (coffee)
Lineage: Eukaryota; Viridiplantae; Streptophyta; Magnoliopsida; Gentianales; Rubiaceae
Source: RefSeq, a predicted model, not a curated record
AUUUAGUGUUGAGUGCAUUUGAUGCAUAACUUCUUGAAUCGCUCCCAAUAAUCACAGAGCGACUCUCUUGGGUGCUACUUGAUACCGCAGAUCUCCUUCCUUAAACU